UACGGAGGGGGCUAGCGUUGUUCGGAAUUACUGGGCGUAAAGCGCGCGUAGGCGGACCUGCAAGUCGGGGGUGAAAGCCCGAGGCUCAACCUCGGAACUGCCUUCGAUACUGCGGGUCUCGAGUCCGGGAGAGGUGAGUGGAAUUCCUAGUGUAGAGGUGAAAUUCGUAGAUAUUAGGAGGAACACCUGAGGUGAAGACGGGUUGCUGGGCCGACACUGACGCUGAGUGCGCGAAAGCCAGGGGAGCAAACGGG
RNAcentral lists this ribosomal RNA (254 nucleotides) under uncultured bacterium. RNAcentral describes it as "partial 16S ribosomal RNA". It matches the Rfam family "Bacterial small subunit ribosomal RNA", at positions 524 to 776 of the family's 1533-position model. The record is from RNAcentral.